UUUUAUUCGAUUCUUCGAGAAAAUUGAUUUUAAAUACGCAAUACGAAUGAGUACAUUCCAUUAUCGAUUAUCUAUAUCUAACUAUUUAUAAAUAAUGACAAUAAUAUUGUUUUUAUACAGAUCAUUCAUUCUUUAUUGUUCAUUGUAUUGCAAGUAUUGAAAAAAUAUCCUUGCUAUAUACAUUAUUAUGUUCAACAAAUUAAAAGUAACUAAAUGGACUGUAAUAUGUUAUUGCUUUUUAAUCUUUCAUAUUUCAUUCAAGAAUAUUUUGCUAUUUAAAACAUUUGUACAGUGAGAACAGAAUAUUUGAUCUAUAUUUUAUAUUCUAAAUUUAAAUAAAUCAAUAUACAUAGUUUAAAUUACACAUUUUAUAGAUAUGAAUAGUUUAAUAAUGAACAUUGGUCUGGCGUAACAAUACAAAUAUAAUCGCGGUUAGGACAAAUCUUAUCAAGAAGGAUAUCGGUAUCAAAAAACUAAAUUCGAAAAACGAAUUUACAAAAAAUAAUUAGAGCGAAAUAAUUUUUCUUUGUUUAAAUUAAUCUUUUAUAUCUAAUACAUAUUUUUUCACAAUAUAUAUAUUUUUAUUCUAUCAAUAAAAAGAUUUUGCUCCUAUUCAACGAGUUCCAUUUCAAGAAUUCAGAUGGCGUUGAGCAAUGUUCAGAACAAUGGCGAAAUAUCUACGUGAUUCAGUUCGAGCAAAUUUGGGAGGAGAGGGAUGAAUGACAACAAUUAACAAGUUAGUUGUCAAUUACCACGUUAUCGUUCGCGAUACCGAAACACGAAUGAAACACGUCAUGCAUACAAACACGGUUGAUAGCUUUAUUGAAUUAAUUUUUUUUUUUAUAUCCGACUACACUGUAGUCGAGAAAAAAUAAAACGCAAAAAGUAAUUUUUUUUUGUACCGUAUCUAUUCAUGUUGUUUUCUCACAAUGGAAAAAUAAUAUUUUUCAGGAAUAAAAUACAAGUAUAUAUUCAACACAGCUUUAAAAAAAAAAAGAAAUGAAAUAUAUAAAUAUAAGAUUAAAACGUAACAUUAUAGAUGGAAAGAGAAAAAUCUUCACGUACUAUACAGCACAUAAAUUGAUAUGCAGUGCAAUGUUUCUCUAUCAACUUCCUUCCUGCACGAAUUGAAGGGAAGCGUCAAAUGGGUAUUGCGUCGUGCUCGGUUCAGUUCAUUUUUCGUUAUCUCAAAUUCAAUGCAUACCGGUUCCUUUAUGCGUAAAUUAUAUAUCGUAACGUAGCGAAUCGAGGAUAUGUCGCUAUAACACCAGGUGAAAAGGAUAAUGAGACAGGGCGUCUCAGCCUUGCUACAAAAAUUAAUCAUUAACCUCUCUUUCGCGCAAGGAUUCGCCUCGUCAAUUAUCAAGAUUUAUGUUACGACUGGCACGCCCUCUUAAACGAAUCGUCGCAGCCGUGCAUUAAAACAUUAGAUGCUCGGACCAACAAGGAAGCCAUAUGGAACCCCUUGAUUUUCUCUGCUGCGUGGUAUGGGGGGACCUUUACACAUCGACCGGAAGUUAGCUACUAGAGUUCGUACGCCAUAUGGUAGGAACGAAUUUAUUCGAAGAACACGAUGUAAUUCUGGUUCUGGCGGCAAUGCACGCCUUUACGCUCGCCAAUGAUUUAAAAAAAAA
This 1634-nucleotide long non-coding RNA is filed under the name Apis mellifera (honey bee). Its description in RNAcentral is "uncharacterized LOC113218832". The record is from RNAcentral. Lineage: Eukaryota; Metazoa; Arthropoda; Insecta; Hymenoptera; Apidae.